UACGGAGGGUGCGAGCGUUGUCCGGAUUUAUUGGGCUUAAAGGGCGCGCAGGUGGUCCGGUCAGUCAGUGGUGAAAUGCGGCCGCUCAACGGUCGAACUGCCAUUGAUACUGCCUGGCUUGAGAGGAGUGGAGGCCGCCGGAACGGACGGUGUAGCGGUGAAAUGCAUAGAUAUCGUGAAGAACGCCGAUUGCGAAGGCAGGUGGCUACGCUUCGUCUGACGCUGAGGCACGAAAGCGUGGGGAGCGAACAGG
RNAcentral lists this ribosomal RNA (253 nucleotides) under uncultured bacterium. Its description in RNAcentral is "partial 16S ribosomal RNA". It matches the Rfam family "Bacterial small subunit ribosomal RNA", at positions 524 to 776 of the family's 1533-position model. The record is from RNAcentral.